GGUCAAGCUACAAAGGGCGCAUGGUGAAUGCCUUGGCAUCAGGAGCCGAUGAAGGACGUGAUAAGCUGCGAUAAGCUUCGGGUAGGCGCACAUAGCCUGAG
RNAcentral lists this ribosomal RNA (101 nucleotides) under Clostridium perfringens. RNAcentral's name for it is "partial 23S ribosomal RNA". It matches the Rfam family "Bacterial large subunit ribosomal RNA", at positions 1 to 101 of the family's 2925-position model. The record is from RNAcentral. Lineage: Bacteria; Bacillati; Bacillota; Clostridia; Eubacteriales; Clostridiaceae.